Molecule: transfer RNA, 80 nt
Filed under: Polyangiaceae bacterium
Lineage: Bacteria; Pseudomonadati; Myxococcota; Polyangiales; Polyangiaceae
Description: tRNA-Glu
Rfam family: tRNA
About the family: Transfer RNA (tRNA) molecules are approximately 80 nucleotides in length. Their secondary structure includes four short double-helical elements and three loops (D, anti-codon, and T loops). Further hydrogen bonds mediate the characteristic L-shaped molecular structure. tRNAs have two regions of fundamental functional importance: the anti-codon, which is responsible for specific mRNA codon recognition, and the 3' end, to which the tRNAs corresponding amino acid is attached (by aminoacyl-tRNA synthetases). tRNAs cope with the degeneracy of the genetic code in two manners: having more than one tRNA (with a specific anti-codon) for a particular amino acid; and 'wobble' base-pairing, i.e. permitting non-standard base-pairing at the 3rd anti-codon position.
Source: RNAcentral
GUCCCCAUCGUCUAGCUCGGCCCAGGACUCCCGGCCCUUUCAAGGCCGCCGCGCGGGUUCGAAUCCCGCUGGGGACGCCA